Molecule: non-coding RNA, 2357 nt
Organism: Ictidomys tridecemlineatus (thirteen-lined ground squirrel)
Lineage: Eukaryota; Metazoa; Chordata; Mammalia; Rodentia; Sciuridae
Source: RefSeq, a predicted model, not a curated record
UAGGAAAGUUAUGUCCAAUUUAUAACUUUCACUGUCUUUCCUAUUCCCAUCCCCACUCCUUUCCCUUUGUCUAAUCAAAUGAACUUCUGUUCUUCCUCUCCAUACACUCCCUUGUAGUGGAUUACCAUCCACAUAUCAGGGAGAACAUUUGGCCUUUAGGACUUUGGGACUGGCUUAUUUCACUUAGCAUGAUAUUCUCCAGUUCCAUCCAUUUUUUCAGCAAAUGCAAUAAUUUCAUUCUUCUUUGUGGCUGAAUAAUAUUCCAUUGUGUAUAUAUACCACAUUGAAUUUUCUUUAUCCGUUCAGUUACUGAGGAAUUAUUGAGGCCAAAGUAAAGAAUUGGGUUUUCCUCUAAGAAUAAAGUAGCAAAUAUAAAAACUAAGGAAGCAUGAGAAAACAGGAGAAGUUCAGGGACACUGUAGUCAUUUAGUGUGGUUUCUGUGAAUGCAAAAUGUAGAGGUUAUUAGAUGAGGCUGGACAACAGGGCAAAAACCAAAUCAUGAAGAUUUCUUUUUAGCAUAUAAGAGAAUUUUGACUGUAUCCUGAAAUUGAUGGGAAGUAAUUAACAAUAUUUAAAUAAAGGAAUGACAUGAAUGAUUUUUUUUCAGAAGGAACAUGCUAUCAAUCUUGUAGAAGGUUGUUUGUGAGACAAGAACGGAGGCAGGAGACCAAUUAAGUGACUCUUUAUAAUUUCAGAGAAAUAAUAUACUAGUCUAGGAAAACUGAUUAAAGGAGGAAGAAAAGAGGAUCAAGAUUGAAGCCUUGAGGAUAAAUACCAUUUAAGGGUUGAGAGGAAGGAAAUAAAUCAGCAUUGGAGAUCUCUAGCGUGCUGAUUGGUGUUGAGUUGCUGAGUGUUUUGCAUCAUCUCCUUUUGACCUGGAACCCACCAUCCAUCCAGCUGUUGGUUACUGGAGUUGUAAAACAGAUAGUAAGAGCUGCUCAGGAUUAUUUGCAGGAAAAAAGAAAUACUCUAAGUAAGCACUGUAAAUCACACUAACUUAAAGUAAACCUUAUUUACACUCUAAUUUUUGAAGUAGUAAUGCCAGGAGGUUUAUAAUUUAGAAAAUGAUCAUACAUUUAGAAAAUUUGAAACUGAGUUUGUUUUCAUUAGAAAGGACCAAAUGAAAUUGCUGAUAGCUGAUCAUUUUUCCCCUCCAAAAAUGUCAACUUCACAUAGUUCAACCUAGCGUAUGUGUUAUUUUUAUUAGGAAAUAAUUACCUAAAAUUUUCUAAGUAAAAAAUAACUAUCCAUCUGUUUAGAGAAGUUAAUACACAAAAUUCUAGUAAGACAGAGAAUUAUACUAAGAAAGACAUGUAGCAUUAUUUAGGCAUUUACUUGUAAAUCCUUUUGAAGGAAUUUCUUAAAGGUAUUUAUUGUGAUAUUUUAUAUGCCAUUUUCAAUUUUCUGCUGAAAAUUUUACUAAAAUUAUUUUUUAUCUAAUAUGAAGAUGACAUGGAAAAAAGUCCUGUCCAGUAUUAGGAGAAGGAGGUGACAGUGGUGGCCUCAUUCCUGGAAAAUCUCUUGUGUUUGCAACUAUGGAGCUAUUGAUGUUCAUUUUAGUUCGGCAUAUGCCACAUCUGAUGUCAGACUCUCCAAGUCACAUAGCCACUAAAUCCCAGCUGUCAGAAGAAAGUGCUUGUCUGGUGGCAGCCACAGUCACCAUUCUCUAUGAUUUACCGUCCCUUUGUUCACCUGCUGGAUGUAUGACAAUCCUGCCCACAAUUCUGUUCUUAAUUACAAGAAUAUUAAAAGAUAAAGCAAUAAAGUCUGCAGACAAUCAGGUUCCUCUACCCAUCAGUGCAGCUUUUCAAGACAUUAAAAUUAUUGUGACACUUUCAAUGGCCAAAACUGAGGAAACUCAAAAACAGUGGACAGCUCUAAUUUGUAGCACUUUUGCAUGUAUCCUGGAAUAUUCACAACCAGGUAACCUGUCAGAAUUUUUAAAAAUAUUGAUCUGUUCAGAUAUCUAUCUGUUCCCUAAUUAAUUAAUUAUUUAAGUAAUUGUAUCAGAAAAUUGCUGUAUAACAUUGAAUUAACUCAGAGAGGUGCAUUAGUCACAUUUUUUUGGAUUUGAAAUUUCAAUAACUCUGUCUGAAUUAUUGACUUUAAAUAUCUUUGUCUUAGAACUUUCAUACAUACUGGAAAGUUUUAAAAAAGGAUAUAAUAUAUAUCCAGAAUUGACAUGUAUUAGUAUAAUUGAUAUAAAAUUGGAAAGAAGUUGAAGUAUCUGUCACUAUUUCAAUGUAUCACAAAUGGAACCAUAAUCUUGGUAUUGAUAUAUUUUAUUCUACAAAUUUCCCUAUUAUAAAUUAUAUUUUCUAUGUUAAUAUGCAUCAAUUAUUUUAACAAAUAUACU